AUGCAAGUCGAGGGCAGUCACGGGAGUAGCAAUACAACGUGGUGGCGACCGGCGCACGGGUGAGUAACGCGUAUGCAACCUACCUAUCAGAGGGGAAUAACCCGGCGAAAGUCGGACUAAUACCGCAUAAAACAGGGGCACCGCAUGGUGAUAUUUGUUAAAGAAAUUCGCUGAUAGAUGGGCAUGCGUUCCAUUAGGGUAGUUGGUGAGGUAACGGCUCACCAAGCCGACGAUGGAUAGGGGAACUGAGAGGUCGGUCCCCCACACUGGUACUGAGACACGGACCAGACUCCUACGGGAGGCAGCAGUGAGGAAUAUUGGUCAAUGGGCGGGAGCCUGAACCAGCCAAGUCGCCGUGAAGGAAGAAGGAUCUAUGGUUCGUAAACUUCUUUUGCAGGGGAAUAAAGUGCAGGACGUGUCCUGUUUUGUAUGUACCCUGAGAAUAAGGAUCGGCUAACUCCGUGCCAGCAGCCGC
This 475-nucleotide ribosomal RNA is filed under the name uncultured bacterium. RNAcentral's name for it is "bacterial SSU rRNA". It matches the Rfam family "Bacterial small subunit ribosomal RNA", at positions 55 to 518 of the family's 1533-position model. The record is from RNAcentral.